GGUGAAGCACCCGAAGGGCAAUAACAUCUCCAAAACAGGGACCCACUAAGUUGAGUAAAGGAAACAGGGUCAAGGAGAACAAACCCAGAUUCUACAAAAACAGCGUGAAGCGCAACCACCAAAAGCUUAUGGUCACGGCCUGCGUCAUCGCUCAGCCCAUCCGUGAACACUUUCCUCAAAAAUCCAGGUACAGAAAACGACUUCGUCAUAUUCACAUCAGCCGUCAUCGCUCAGCUCAUCCAUGAACACUUUCCUCAAAAAUCCAGGCACAGAAAACGACUUCGUCAUAUUCACAUCAACUGUCAUGUCGCUGUAAUCGACCACCAUAAACUCCUCCGUUUCCUCUCCCUCAAGUAUCGAAUUUACGGUUUUCGUCUCAGAUUCCUGGAUAAUUUGGGUAUCCAGUUUUUUGACUGUUUCA
This 421-nucleotide long non-coding RNA is filed under the name Nicotiana benthamiana. RNAcentral describes it as "long non-coding RNA (NBEN_LNC003733)". The record is from RNAcentral. Lineage: Eukaryota; Viridiplantae; Streptophyta; Magnoliopsida; Solanales; Solanaceae.